GCCCAAAUGGCGGAAUUGGUAGACGCGUUAGUUUCAGGGACUAGUAAUCGCAAGGUUGUGCAGGUUCGAGUCCUGUUUUGGGCACAA
Molecule: transfer RNA, 87 nt
Filed under: Porphyromonadaceae bacterium COT-184 OH4590
Lineage: Bacteria; Pseudomonadati; Bacteroidota; Bacteroidia; Bacteroidales; Porphyromonadaceae
Description: tRNA-Leu
Rfam family: tRNA
About the family: Transfer RNA (tRNA) molecules are approximately 80 nucleotides in length. Their secondary structure includes four short double-helical elements and three loops (D, anti-codon, and T loops).
Source: RNAcentral